CCCCAAUCAAUGUCUCCCUUCGGGUCAAGAGUUCAGGGACUCAGUGUGCUGGGCUGAGGGGCCCCAGCUGAGAGGAGGAUGGAUUUGGGGCCACGUGGAGACAUGAUUCAUUCUCCUGCUAAACAUUCACAUUUUGAUCUUGAGGAUGUCUUAGGGUCCUAUUCUUCGUUCCCUCCUCCCAGCCACUGCGUUUAGGGCACAAUGCAAUGAUACAACUUUUUCCUUCUUGAAAAAGGAGUCAUUGCCCUGACCUCUCGUGUCGUCUGUGGGGCUCCAGGGCAUCCUCGAAGUCCCUAAAUAGGUUGAAAUAAACAACUCUCCAGCAGGUGAGGA
Molecule: long non-coding RNA, 333 nt
Filed under: Equus asinus (donkey)
Lineage: Eukaryota; Metazoa; Chordata; Mammalia; Perissodactyla; Equidae
Description: lncRNA (ENSEASG00005028901.1)
Source: RNAcentral